ACUCACUUAGCUCAGUUGGUUAGAGCACUCGGCUUAUACCCAAGUGGUCAGGGGUUCAAGUCCCUUAGUGAGUA
Molecule: transfer RNA, 74 nt
Filed under: Crassvirales sp.
Lineage: Duplodnaviria; Heunggongvirae; Uroviricota; Caudoviricetes; Crassvirales
Also listed under: 1 other name
Description: tRNA-Ile
Rfam family: tRNA
About the family: Transfer RNA (tRNA) molecules are approximately 80 nucleotides in length. Their secondary structure includes four short double-helical elements and three loops (D, anti-codon, and T loops).
Source: RNAcentral